RNAcentral lists this small RNA (67 nucleotides) under Lentibacillus amyloliquefaciens. RNAcentral describes it as "Bacillaceae-1 RNA". It matches the Rfam family "Bacillaceae-1 RNA". The record is from Rfam by way of RNAcentral. Lineage: Bacteria; Bacillati; Bacillota; Bacilli; Caryophanales; Bacillaceae.
GUGAAGGGAACAGAGGCUAAAUCCGCAACGUCCGUUGCAACGCCUCCCGAGACCUGCGUCAUGCAGG